AUGGAGGUUGCCUUGUCUGCAGUUGCAGGUGAACUAGUGAGCCGUUUCAUCUCCUUCCUGCUGAACAAGUACCAUUCUAGCCGUCUACACUCGCAGGAGAAGGUGAUGGAGAGGUUGCAGCAUCUCCUGAUGAGAGUUUGCACCAUCGUCGAGGGGGCGGACACGCGGUACAUAAACAACUCCGGGAUGAUGAUGCAGCUCAAGAUGCUCUCAGAGGCCAUGUACCGAGGAUACAGUGUGGUGGACAACUCAAAGUACCAAGCUCUCCAGGACGGUGCAAGCUCUGACGUGGUUAGCAGCAACGACUCAUCUACCUGGAGCUUGUAUUUAGCCAAGCGUUCUCGAACAACUAAUAAGGCCACACACCUUGAGUUGCAUUGUGCCUUGGAAGACUUGGAAAUUGUUGUUGCUAACAUGGCAGAAUUUGUUAUCCUUCUGGGUGGAUGCGAGUGCAUGUCUCGUAGGCCAUACGAUAUUUAUCUUUACAUAGACAACUUCAUGUUUGGCCGGCAUGCUGAAAAGCAAAAGCUCUUGAGCUUCUUGCUGCAUCCCGACCCUCUUGGUGAUCAUGCACUGGCAGUUCUUCCGCUCAUAGGUGGUGCAACAACUGGGAAGAAAACUUUGGUUGCUCAUGUGUGCGGUGAUGAAAGGGUUCGCCAGCGCUUCUCCUCUAUAUUGCACUUGAAAGGAGACAACCUUUUAAGAAUACUUGACCACGGAAGGACUAUGAAAGGGGUGAUGUUGAUCGUUAUUGAGUUUGUUUCUGAUGUAGAUGAUGAUGACUGGGAAAGGUUUCACUCAUUUCUCAUACGAAUUGGAAGAGGAAGCAAGAUCAUCAUUGUAAGUAGAAUUAAAAGUUUAGUCCGGUUUGGAUCGGUGAAGCCGAUAUUCUUAAGUGCUCUAUCUCACGAUGAGUUGAGGUACCUUUUCAAGAUAAUGGCAUUCGGAAGCGUAGACCCGACAGAACAUCCACGGCUACUUCAGCUCGCAGAUGAAUUUGCCAAGGUGUUGCAUAGUAUGCAAUCUUCACUUGUUGAAAUAACUGUGUUUGCAGAUGCGUUAAGGAGGAGUCUGCAUGUUCAAUCUUGGUGUUGCAUAUUGGACAAGGGGAUAAGGUUCCUUAAAAGGAACCUCUCCAUGUAUGGUAUGCAGCCAAGAAUAGCGCUCCUAGAACAAGGCCAUCCAGUGGACAUAACGGAUGUUACUUCACAUCCACAUAGCAUGACACCUUAUACAAUUAAUGCCUCAAUCGAGAAACCACCAAGUGUGACUGCUGCGGAACUUCUAACAGAUCCUAGUGUUAGACCAAAAGGAGACUUCAUUCUCAUUUUAUGGGAAUCAAGGAUACCCCCGUAUGAAUCAUUUGUUUACUUUGUUACAAGUCGUGCUCAGGAUACAAAUCAAGGUAGCACCUUGGCAGGGAGGAAGCGACGAGGAGUGCCGGUCUAA
RNAcentral lists this ribosomal RNA (1449 nucleotides) under Triticum aestivum (bread wheat). RNAcentral's name for it is "partial small subunit ribosomal RNA". Lineage: Eukaryota; Viridiplantae; Streptophyta; Magnoliopsida; Poales; Poaceae. The record is from RNAcentral.